This 155-nucleotide ribosomal RNA is filed under the name Rhodotorula babjevae. Its description in RNAcentral is "5.8S ribosomal RNA". It matches the Rfam family "5.8S ribosomal RNA". From Rfam's summary of the family: 5.8S ribosomal RNA (5.8S rRNA) is a component of the large subunit of the eukaryotic ribosome. It is transcribed by RNA polymerase I as part of the 45S precursor that also contains 18S and 28S rRNA. Lineage: Eukaryota; Fungi; Basidiomycota; Microbotryomycetes; Sporidiobolales; Sporidiobolaceae. The record is from RNAcentral. RNAcentral also lists the same sequence under 1 other name.
AACUUUCAACAACGGAUCUCUUGGCUCUCGCAUCGAUGAAGAACGCAGCGAAAUGCGAUACGUAAUGUGAAUUGCAGAAUUCAGUGAAUCAUCGAAUCUUUGAACGCACCUUGCGCUCCUUGGUAUUCCGAGGAGCAUGCCUGUUUGAGUGUCAU